CCUACGGGUGGCAGCAGUGAGGAAUAUUGGUCAAUGGGCGGGAGCCUGAACCAGCCAAGUCGCGUGAGGGACGACGGUCCUAUGGAUUGUAAACCUCUUUUGUCGGGGAACAAAGGCGCCCACGGGUGGGCGGAUGAGUGUACCCGAAGAAAAAGCAUCGGCUAACUCCGUGCCAGCAGCCGCGGUAAUACGGAGGAUGCGAGCGUUAUCCGGAUUUAUUGGGUUUAAAGGGUGCGCAGGCGGAAUGUCAAGUCAGCGGUAAAAUUUCGGGGCUCAACCCCGUCGUGCCGUUGAAACUGGCGUUCUUGAGUGAGCGAGAAGUAUGCGGAAUGCGUGGUGUAGCGGUGAAAUGCAUAGAUAUCACGCAGAACUCCGAUUGCGAAGGCAGCAUACCGGCGCUCAACUGACGCUCAUGCACGAAAGCGUGGGUAUCGAACAGGAUUAGAUACCCUUGUAGUC
RNAcentral lists this ribosomal RNA (459 nucleotides) under uncultured bacterium. RNAcentral describes it as "partial 16S ribosomal RNA". It matches the Rfam family "Bacterial small subunit ribosomal RNA", at positions 338 to 795 of the family's 1533-position model. The record is from RNAcentral.